This 473-nucleotide ribosomal RNA is filed under the name uncultured bacterium. RNAcentral's name for it is "bacterial SSU rRNA". It matches the Rfam family "Bacterial small subunit ribosomal RNA", at positions 26 to 507 of the family's 1533-position model. The record is from RNAcentral.
AGGACGAACGCUGGUCGGCGCGCCUAACACAUGCAAGUCGAACGAGCGAGAGAGAGUUACUUUUUCGAGCGAGUGGCGAACGGGUGAGUAACGCGUGAGGAACCUGCCUCAAAGAGGGGGACAACAGUUGGAAACGACUGCUAAUACCGCAUAAGCCCACGACCCGGCAUCGGGUAGAGGGAAAAGGAGCAAUCCGCUUUGAGAUGGCCUCGCGUCCGAUUAGCUAGUUGGUGAGGUAAAUUGGGCCCACCAAGGCAACGAUCGGUAGCCGGACUGAGAGGUUUGAACGGCCACAUUGGGACUGAGACACGGCCCAGACUCCUACGGGAGGCAGCAGUGGGGAAUAUUGCACAAUGGGGGAAACCCUGAUGCAGCGACGCCGCGUGGAGGAAGAAAGGUCUUCGGAUUGUAAACUCCUGUUGUUGGGGAAGAUAAUGACGGUACCCAACAAGGAAGUGACGGCUAACUACGUG